RNAcentral lists this ribosomal RNA (253 nucleotides) under uncultured bacterium. RNAcentral describes it as "partial 16S ribosomal RNA". It matches the Rfam family "Bacterial small subunit ribosomal RNA", at positions 524 to 776 of the family's 1533-position model. The record is from RNAcentral.
GACGUAGGGCGCAAGCGUUGUCCGGAUUUAUUGGGCGUAAAGAGCUCGUAGGUGGUUUGUCGCGUUGUCCGUGAAAACUCACAACUCAAUUGUGGGCGUGCGGGCGAUACGGGCAGACUGGAGUACUGCAGGGGAGACUGGAAUUCCUGGUGUAGCGGUGGAAUGCGCAGAUAUCAGGAGGAACACCGGUGGCGAAGGCGGGUCUCUGGGCAGUAACUGACGCUGAGGAGCGAAAGCGUGGGGAGCGAACAGG